Molecule: long non-coding RNA, 17290 nt
Filed under: Coffea arabica (coffee)
Lineage: Eukaryota; Viridiplantae; Streptophyta; Magnoliopsida; Gentianales; Rubiaceae
Description: long non-coding RNA (CARA_LNC006680)
Source: RNAcentral
UUUUUUUUCUGGUUUUGGAUUUUGGUUUUAGAUUCCCUACUUUACGGCAGAAGCCAAAACGACGACGGUUCCUGAUUUUGAACAUUGCGUACUAUCAACGUACGAUUGACCGUAACGCCUCCUCAGAUUGGAAGUCUCGAUGCUUGAAUUCUUGAAACUCCGUCCCAUUUGUCUAAUAUAUAAAUUAUUCAAAUCUUUUUUCAAACUGUAAUUUUGGAUUUGCCUGUUUUUUUCUUUUCAUAUGAUUAUAGCUGUGCAGAUUUUUCUAUUACGAAAAAUAAAACUGCAGCCAAAUGACAUGAAUUGUCAUCAUUAAACAAUUUAAAUUUUUUAUUUUGGCUAAUAAUUAAUUUUCUUCAAUCAAUUCAAAAAUAUACACCUUUAGUCAGUCAACCAUACAAACGCAUAUUUUUUUAGUGAUUUAACUUUCUGUCUAGAAAUUAUAUGUUUUUAUUAUUUAUUUUUUUUACCACCUCACUAAAUAAAAGAGUGAAGUGGACCAAAACAGGAAUUUUAUAUUAAUUUGGUAACCAUUUACUUCAUCAUUUGCUCUAUUAGUAUGUAUAUUAGUAAAUUAGAAAAAGCCCUAAGAUGUAAGAAGGCAGCUUCGGCCCAAAAAGAGAAUCUGUAUAAGCGGCUAGUUAGCACACCCUUGCCCAGCACCGGUUCCAUUUGAAGUCCAAACUUAGUUCCGCGCAGUCCAACGGGCAAUUCUCUUGGCAAAUGCUGGGCUAUUCAGCCCGUUUUAUCUAUAAUACCACGUAAUAGUGGUCGAUCCGAAUUCUUUUUUUUAGUAUUUUUAAUCGUGUUCUUACUGUUGACCUUUUCUUUUCUUUUUUAUUUUUAAUCGGAUUUGGAAGAUUCGUGAAUUGUCGAGUAGGAUUUGUUGUAAACAAUAAACAAUGCUGAUUUGGAAGAGAAUCUGUAAACUCAGUCAUUUUUGGUGCAAAGAGAACAAAAUGUGUGAACGCUCUAAACUAAACUAGUUUGAUUUUGGAGUUAGGUCCUACUGCGUCACCACACCUGUAAAAUUUUGAUUACGUGGUUAUCGUUAGUUUCAAAUGUUGGUGGUUCUUAUCCUGGAUUAGGGGUCCACUGAAGUGUAUGUUAAUAUCACUUGGCACUCAUAAAAUUUUAAAAAUAUUAUUAUUAAUUUCUCCUAAAAUCAUACCUUUUGUAACAAUCUCAUCCUUGUAUCAUUAAAAUAUUCUUAUAAAUAUUUAAUAAGAGAGAUAUUUUCUCCUAAUUCUCCUUUUUUGUUUUGUCUUAUAUUAAAUUUUCUACCAAUUUGAUUAUAAUAAAAUAUUUAUAUAUUUUACUUAAAAAUUUCUCUUUAUUAAUGUUUUGCCUAAAAAUUGUUAAAAUAGCAAAGAUAAUUUUGUCAGUUUAUAUGCUCUGAUAGUAAUCAAUGGUCUUUCUACCCAAAAAAAAAUCAAUGGUCCCAUCUAUAAAUUGUAAAAUGAAAGUUAAGUGAUAUUUCUAAAACUUUAAGAAUGCCAAAUGACAUUAUCAUAAAUCUUAAGAAGGGUUUCUAAAAUUAUUUUCUAGUAAAAAGUAUACCUUCUUACAAAUUCAAUUGGCAAAAAUAUACACUCAAUAGUUAAAAAUGGUCGAUAAAGUUAACCAAUUAUAUAAUUUGAGGAUCAUUCAUUUUUUGCCCUCCAUUUUUUGUGCAUAUCGUUCAACUUCACUCAAACUCAAGACAAGGCCCUUCUUUUCAAAAUUGAACUACCACUAAAAAGGGAAACACUCAUAGCCAGAAAUUACUUUAGUCAUUUGUGAAAAACAUUUUCUUGGUACAUAUGGCCCAACUGUGACAUUUUUUUUACAUUUGGUUUGUUUGGAUAGAGAAUUAUUUGGAAUAAUUACUGCAGCACUUUUUGUGAUGUGAUGUAUGUGAGAUAAAAAGUUGAUUGAAAAUAUAAAAAAAUGAAUUGAGAAAUACGUUUAUAAUGCAAGCGAAGUAUUAUUUAGAAUAAUAUGUGUUGAGAAAUGUGUUUUAAUGAAAUAAAAGAUCUCGAAUCUAGAGCCCCUCCUUUCAAACCCCUCGACCCAUUCCUCCCCCCAUCCAACUGUAGCUUAAACUCAAACACUCUCAACAGGAAAUUACUUUAAUAAUCUUUUUUUAAAAACGAAUUCUUGGCAUGCAUUGGCCGACUGUAGCUUAAACUCGAGACCUCUCAGCCCAGAGAUGACACUGUUCCACAGAGGGAAACUCCUUGGUAAUUUCAUCGUUUGAUUCCAGCAGAACCAUCAUAUACAUGGUCCUUAUCGUCCUCCCGUUAAAAGUCCGACCAAACAACUUCUGCAGUGCUUUAGGAAUAUUUUGGUGCCGAAGUAGUCAACAUGAUUCGGGCAUACAACCGGAUCAUGACUUAAAAACUUAGCCAAGCAGCCAUUUCUUUUAAUUAUAUAUUGCCCCACACAAAAUCGUGUCAAGAUGCAGUGAUCAAUCACAAAUUACAGCAAAGCAUACAGGCAAACCUUACCACGAAUCUUCACUAGGCAAAGCAGGGGAAAAUAAACAAAGGAAGAAAUUAAGAGCAAUUUGUUAAUUUACAUGAAAUUUGUCUCUUCACAUCUCUCCGCCUCUGAAAAGUAUGAGCCUGAGGUACCAGUUUUAGUAUGAAUCAUAAAGAGCAAAAUGCCAGAAAUCACCAGCAGAUAGAUGGCCAGUCCUGUAAAUUGGUCAAAUCCGCCCAAAUAAACCUUCAAGGAAUCUUGAGCAUCAUGUGCAUUGUGUCAUCGAUAUGUUCAUCUUCGCCACUUCCUCUCUGGAAAAAAAGUAAAAUCUCAUUGUGAACAAAAAGAUACAAGGCUACAAGCCAAACAUCAACCGCAUACAAAUAAAAAACCACAGACAAUAUUAAAAUAAUAAAUUUUUUUUUAAAAAAAAGAAGAAAAAGAAAAAGCCAACACUGGAUGAAACACAUAAUAAUGAUUACACAUGAAAUCAACUUGUCAACAAGCUCUCUGUAGAGCUAAAAAAACCAAAAUACCUUGAGGAGAAUGAGUUCCAUUUCCCUUGGCAGCCUGCUGUGCCUGAGACAGAGACCGCUGGACACGAGGUGACCCCUGUCUUGUGUUUGAACCAGAUAGGGAUUGUCUUUUUUUAAUGUACACAUCCUUGUACUGCAUAUCAGGACUUGAUCUUGGAGAGUUAUUAGCAAGAGCUUUGGCUCUUGCUGAUUCUGUUGCUUGCAUAUAACUCGGCAGAGAGUUGCUACUACUACUUUCCCUUGGUUCUUGAUCACCAUGAUCAGUUUUAGCUGUCCCAAAGGAGUCGCGCCGCUUCCCUGCUUUGUGCUCCCUCGAUAAAUGCUCUGAGCUACUUCUUGCACCAUUAUCUUCAUUAGGUUCCAAUUGGGAUUCUUUACCAGUAGAUACAGGUCCAUGUUUAUGUUUGGUACCAUGCUUCCCACUCCUGAUUCUCUUGGGCUUCACUGACACCUGACUAGAAGGUGUUCCAUGGGAUUCAGGGAUUGUUACAUGGCUUCUUGGAGAAGCUUCAGGUGAAGAUUUAGACACUGGAUGGCUUGACUCAGAUUCCAUCUCCACAAGCACACCAGUGGCAAUAGAAUCUGGCUUCUCCUCUAUCUCAGACGAUUCAACAGUCACUAUGGAGCUCACAUGCUCGGAUUCAACAGCAGUACUGCUCUCCUGUUUCUCUGGCUGACUCGAAUUUGAGUGUGAUACAUCUCUCUCGGAGAGUAUGGACUCAACCUUUUCAUCAACUUCCAAGUUUAGACUGCUCUUAGGAUUUUCAGUGCCGUACUCCGAACUUUUGGUUUCCUUCUCAAAAUCAACCACUCCAACCUCAGACCUAUCCGGAGAAUCAAGUGUGGAAGAAAUAGAAAGUUCAGUCCCACAUUCAGAGCCACCAACUUGAAUUCCAGAAGUUUGGGGAAUAGAACUUUCAGCAUGAUCAAUUUCCCUGGCACCAAAUGCAUGAUUUGUGCCAGGUGAAACAGCAUCCAUAGAAUAAUCUACACCAGCAUCUUGAUUGGACAAACCAACUGAUUUUCCUAAAUUGGCAGCUGAACUAAGUUCUUCAAACUUCGAUUGAACUGCAAUAAAUGCAGGAUUUGAUGCCUUUCUUGAUACGAAUGAAGAUUUCUUUCCAUCAAUUUCAGAACCUUCAGGUGCAGUUCUCUCGGACACGUCCACAUGCUGCCUGUGUUCCAUUUCAGAUUGAUCAUGAAAUGAAUCAGGCUCAGCUUUGCAAACAUCAGAUGCUCUAUGAUGAUCAGAUAGAGAUUCUAAUGUGUUAUUGCUCAAAUUUGCUUGUUCAACAUUUUGAGGAUCGGACUGCUUGUGACUCACUGAAGAUACGGUUGGCCUGCAUUCUUGAAAGUUGUAGCUGUCUGCAUCAUAUGUGAUGACAUUAUUAUCAGCUUCGGAAGCCAGUGACAAUGCUUCAGCACUAGUCUUGAUGUCUCUUGAUUGACAAUUUUCUGGAGAUGAUACUGCAGUUUCUAGUUGGCAGUCUGCUUCCACGAUGUCGUCCUUACCUUGUUGAUCUUUAGCAAACUCUAAUUUCUGUGACUGUCCAUUUUCCACUGAUGCAACGGACAUCCAGCGCUCCAACCAUUUCCAGGCUGAGUCCGACUUGGAAGGAUCACACUUGAUAUUGAUGGUUUUGGUCUUGGGUGUUGAUUCCAGAAGCUUACGCCAAGAAGAGUAACAGAAAACAAGAUACAAUAGAAUAAGAUUCUCAACCAUCCAAUCUUAAUAAGAUUAAAUAAAAGACAUAGGAAUCAUAAUAACUUCUUUUACCUGACGUGCAAAUGCAUUACUUAGCAACUUCUCUAUGGAAGUAUAUGUGUAUGGCUCAGUCCCCGUAUUUUCUUUCUCCUGAACACAAUGAAGAACAUUUAGACAAGUAUUUAAAAGACAACACAGUGAAAUUUUGGAUACAAAAUUUCUCUUCCUCAAACUUUUCCAUCAGGCAAGUCAGCCUGACAAUAAGACAUCUUCAAAGUACAAUCCAGAAAUAAUACCAACAACCACAAAUUGUCUAGAUCACAAUGAAUUUUUCUAGAAAAUCAUUUUGCAUACUAUUUAUACAAGACAUAAAAAAUUAAAAAAAAAAAACUUUACCCUUAAUCCUCUUGUCCUAAAUAUGCAGGAUGGACCAACAACUCAUGCAGGUACUUGUCUAAAAGUCAAUCAAUGGAAACAGAAACAACCACCAUGAUAAACUUAACUCACGAUGAAAUUGUGAAAAGUGAUAACUUGAGCUGAACUUUUACCAUGAAUGAACCGUGAUUGUUAAUUCCAUUCUUUUCAUCUAAAUUUUCUUCAAUGUUUGACCGUUUUAGAAGCAAGCGAGCACGGCGUUUUCGGACAAGCGCUUGCAUUUUAACAAUGGCUUUGACACAUCGAAGGCUGCCCACAGCAUGCCGCCUAACUAUGUGUCCACGUACAGCAGCUUGCAACUUAAUUAUAUUCUUAUGCUUCAAAAACACUCUUUGAGCCUGGAACACAAGAAACACAUAAUAAAAAUCUAUUUUCAUCUUAAGUUUAACAAUCAAUACGUUGAAAGCCUCACCAGAUAUCUCCUAACUGCAGAUUGGAUGACAAUUACAAUUGCUUCAUCCAGGAUGCUGGCAAUUCCGUUCUCAUCCUCGGCAGAAGCUAUAGCUGAUGAUGAUUUUGAAUCCACAGGAAUUUGCACCUCGUUUUUCUCCUCUGUCCAUUGAGCAGCAGAGGUUUUAUCUCGAAUAGUAGAGCUAGCCUGCGUCUGCAAGCUGACAGCAGCAGUAUCCGGAUCAGUCUUGCUCACAAAAGGUGUUUCUGAGGUAACAGAGUUGCUCAGCACUCGAUGUCUUGCAGAUCUUUUCCGGAAACUCCACCUACUUCUAUCACUUGAGCCCUUACUCUGUAAGCAGCAAAAUCAUCGGAAGUAGGGAGGAGGAAAAAGAAUAAAACGAAGAGAUAGCAUACCAAUGAGAAAAAUGCAACUACUUGUUUAAUCAUGCACGUAUUCGCACAGCAACGAGAAAAAUGCGCAAGUGUGGAGAAAAUUUAUGUUAACAGCAUACGCUAACAAAGACUCUAAAGGUGCAAGUUCCUAAUUAUCAAUUGUGAUCUUUUAUCAGAAACAGAAAAAAGCUAGCUUCUUCCAAGAAGAAUCACACUUGGUCAGGACUCACAAUGCUCCGAAGAGCCCACAACACAUGUUAAUUUUGCUGACACACAACAUAUAUCCAUACUUUUGGAAGUUUCUUUCAAGACAUUAUCCUGCUGGAAGGUAGCUGCAAAAAGAAGACAGCAAAAUGCAUGAUAAGCAAUCAGUACAUAAUUAACCCAUUUAUUCAGAAGUUGAGAAGCCAGGAAACCACAACCAUUUCAGUCAGAUGACUUUGAUGCUGGUUAUAGGAAAUAAAAGGUGGGUGGAAGUCACUAAUAACCGCAGCGCACAAUAAAAGUUCCUUCUGAAAUUAAUAUAGAAUACCCCCUAGACAUAAACCGGAUAAGAUACUAGCAAACAUUACACUCAUGUUGUACAAUUUCAUCUACCCUCCAAUUGACAGAUGAAAUAGCCAUCAACCUGAUUUUCAAUUGAUGGUUUACAAAAUUGAAUAAUUAAACAAGCAUUUAGCCACCCUGCUACCAAGACUCACAAGCAGCCAUGACUAUGGUGGACAAUAAGCUCAGGCGCUCAUCUUUUUCUUCACAUGGGCAGACUCAGGGAGGAAACACAAGAAAUGCUCUGUUUAGAUGUAAAUGAAUUAACAUAUUUAUGUAGAUAUUUGGCCUUAAAACCACUAGUAACUUCUAAUAAUGCUUGUGCAGCAUCAGCCAUGAACCUGACAGAGCAGCCUGUUAUUUCUAAUUUUGUUGUAGUUUGUAAGUAGAUGAGAGAAACAUGUUCUUUUCUUUAGAGUAAACUUAAAUAAUAUGUCCAAAACUCAACAUACAUUAAUUAGAAUUACUUGCAUGCAUUUCAUUGCUGGCAACACAAGUCACCUCAAGCAUGUACGCCAUAUCCAUGCUACUACAUCUUGCAAAAUAUUGUUAGGCAAUAAAAUCUUGACAAAACUUGUUAUGAGCAGAAAAAUAUGAAUAUCUCAAUAAUUUUGCAGAAAAUAACAACGUAAAAAUUGCCACUAGACAAGGUUCUUGCAUUUCUUGUUCCCUCUUUUAGUAAGGCGCACCAUAAGACGCAUUGAACUACUGACUCAUCCCAGGUUUUCAAAGUGAUUGGUUCAAUUCCACAAAUUAAAUUUAAUAGAUCGAUAAGCAAUAACCUAGAAGCAUUGAACACACAUCCUCAAACUUUUAAGAAAGGAACAAUCUCACUAAAUGACCACUAUUUAAGACAAAGCAGAAACAACAAGAAGUAUCUUCUCUGGAUAGUCCAUGUCAAUCUAGCAAUGGACUACACAUUUAGAACUAUGCAUAGCUUCACAAUCAAACUUCUGCACUGUAAAAGCUCCCUUACAGUGUCGCUGAUAAAUUUAAAGCUAAAUCCGCAGCAAUUCAGGACCAACAAUAUAGAACAUCUUGAUACUCCUCCGCUAGCAACUAUAAUCUGUUCUAAUAGAAAGAAGCUAGUUGAAGGUUUGAAGAAAGACAAGAUAUCAGGUUCACAGUCUAAAAUCUAACAAAAAGCAAGAUAAUUCCAGGUGGAAAGGAAAGGAAUCAACGAGAUAACUUCCUGUACACAGAUAAAUUUCCUUCUGAGACACGGAUUCCCUUAAUAUUGCAAAUCCUGUAGCACCAUAUAUCCACGAUGACUAAUCACAAGCGAAUUUCAGAUUCAAAUCCUAAACCCCAGCCCUCAUUCCUCAAUAUCCUAAUUGAUUCAGUUAUGCAAUAAAAUGAAUCCAUUUAGACUAAGCAAAGCCACUGGAAAUCAAAAGUCAUUCUACACACUUUUCGUCGAUAAAUGAAAUGCAGAGGAAGAAGGACAAAUAAAACUCGAAACAGUGGGAUAUGUAGGAUUCUAUCUUUCCAGAAUCGAAGAUCUACUUCUAAUACCUCGUUGACAUUCAGCAUUUACCAAUGCAAUACACUAUCAAAGGAUCUUGGCAAAGUGAACAGUGACACCGAAUUAAAUCUUUUGAAGUAAUAGACAUAGCUAAUUACUUCUGGGGAAACAACUAACAACAUCGAUUUCAUACCUCGGCCGUGGCAGACUAAUCGCAUGAAUUAAGAUUCCCUAAUGAUACAUAUACUCAACCGGAGAAACCAACUAAUUGCGUAAUAAUAUGCUUUUUAGUAUGAAAUUAAUAGUGCACUUGAAUCUCUAAAUUACAUUUUUCGUUUCAUCCCUAAACUUGCCGGGUAAACAAAAGUAAGAUUUUAGUUAAACCUUAAUCCAUCUGAAAUACGGCUCCAACUUCUGAAUUUCCUAGCUCGCCAGUUCAUUCACAAUAUUGGCAUACCUCCAUACCAAUCCUCAGAUAUUACCUCAAUCUCCACGUCUACUCGCAAAGAUCCUUACUUUUCUCAUCUCCAGAAAGAAUGGAAAAAUCACGACAGUUCCCCAUCAGAAGUCAAAAACUUCAUAACAAAACAGCGGAGGAAUAACAAACCAAACCAGUAACCGAAGCAUAUACCUCAGGAGCUUGAAGAUCAUCUCUGUCGACGGAGUCAUUGUUGCCGGCGCAACUGAUGAGCUUGAAACAUGAAGCUGUGCCAGAUCUCACCAUUCUAUCGAUCGAUUUUCUCUAAUGUCGUGAUCUCACUCACGCAGUACACACACUUCUCACAGCCUCCAGCAGAGUAGUAGAACUGUUACUGCUUGGAGUCACUCUAAAGUUGGUCUUUGUUAUGGGAAAUUGUACCCAAGGCAGGACACACUGGGGGAGACGGGGGGGAGAGAGAGAGAGAGAGAGGAAGUUUUAGGAACGCCGGACCUCAACCCUCUCCUGAAAUCCAGCUCAAUAUUGCUUCACGAGUCCGCCAAGGUCCUCGUUUUCUUUUCGUCUCUCUACAUAUAUAUCCGUUGAGAUUUCAAAGCCAGAGAUGAGUGACGAGUGAGAUAAAAAGCAGUACUGUGUUUGGAAAUCCGAUUAACAAAAGUUGCCUGAUCCAUACUUUUACUAAUUUUCCUUUUUCUUUGUUGUUUCUGAAUUAAAAAACAAUUAUUGAUUAGUAUAAAAUUGAAAUAUCGGGUAAAGCUUUUUUUUUUUUUUUUAAAUCACGACAAAUUGCUUGCUUUUUUUGCUUUAUCUCGUGUCAACAGCGGACAAAGAAUGUAAAGUACCAUGCCUAGAGGUACUUGUGUUUCUUUAUCCGUUACAUGUGUUUUAGCGUUUACGCCGUAAAAAGUUUGAUACUUGCCUUUUUCUCUCUCUACAUUUUUCUUUUUUCUUUUUAAGUUUUUCGUGGAUUACCUUAUGUCCAAACAGACCAGUAUUAUGAUAUAUUACACCACAUAAAUAUUAUUUUCGCACGGAUAUGAUACCAACAAAAAUUGGAUGUGUUUGCAUUGGCAUUAUUUGUAAAAAAAUUAUUUAAUUGCAUCACUAAUACUUUUUUUUUUUUUGAGAAGAUACUUUAGAAAAAAAAAACACAAACUAAUUUUUACUAUCGGUAUUUAAACAGGUAAUCCUCGUAUGUAUCCAGUUUCCUUUUACCCUUUUCUUUUAACUAAGGGUGUGUUUUCACUUUUUUUUUUAUAUAGAUUAUUAUGGUUAACUUUGAAUUAAAAACUCAACGCGUUGCAAAUGUAUUCAAGUACAUGUGCCUAUUGGCGACAGAUCCGUUUGGAUUUGUUUUUCUUUUUUAAAUUUCGUACAAAUGUAUACUAUAAUAAUUUGACGUAUGUGUGGUAAAAUAGUGAUUAAGAAAUGUGUUUAUGUAAAAAUUUUUGUGUUAAUAAACUACGAUCCAAACGUUUUAUUCUUGUUGGCUUUCCCGUUGAACUUUGCAAAAAGAUAUUUUAGCGGGUAAAAAUUUGUCACAUAGAUUUAUGGUAAAAAAUCUUCUGCACAUAGAUUUAUCACCCGCCCAUAGAAAAACGCAAGAAAUGCAACAUAUCGGUAAAAUUUGUAGAAAUGGUCAACGCAGAGCUUAUAUAGAAAUUUCUUUAAAACUGGAUUAUGUUCUUAAAAAUGUAUUUUGCAGUCAACAGCUGACAAUUUUGACCAUGGGGGAAGGCGUCAUCAUGUAAGAUUUCCUACCAAAAGAACAUAAAUAUUUUAAUACCGCGCUUUGUCAUGAACCUUAUUUUAAAAGAAAAGAGAAGCAUGCAAAACGCUUGCAGCAAUGAGAUUACAAUACAUCAUAGAUGAGACCAUUAACAAAUAUGGCAUUUUUUCCUUACCUAUUAUUAUGUUGCCCGAACGAGUUUGCCCCUUGCCAAAGCAGACUCCAUGCAGCUGCCUAUAAUUUCUUUCUUCAUGAACUAAUAACCACGUAUGGUACGGAAUUUCUUAUAUCAGGUUGAAGCUUUCUUAACAUGCAUGGCCAGUUCCACGUAACAGCCACAAAAUUCGUUCAAGUGUGAUUUAUGGUCAUCUUUAACAGAAAUACUUAGCUAAAUGUUGUGCCCAGAAUCUCGCGAAAAUUUUAGGAAAAUAACAAAGCAAACGGUUGGUAAUAUCCUUUGGGAAAUGUUGUGUUUGGAUAGGAAAUUGUUUGGAACGUCUAGUGUAAUGUCUUUUAUGAUAUGAUAUAUGUGAGAUAAAAAGGUGGUUGAAUAAAUUCAAAAAGAAAAAUUGAUUGAAAAAUGUGUUUAUGGUACAAACAAAUAAGCGUACAAAAACAUGCAAAUACAUCUGAUCCUCCAUCUCUUUUUUUGGUUAAUCAUGCUCCAACUAUCAUUUUAAUAACAUAAUUUUCAUUUAUAAGACUAUACGAUAAAAUAGAGCGUGAGAGAGCACGGAUAAUAAAAAAUGGAGUGUAAAUUACAUUUUCCUACCUUUUCUACAAUGCAUAAUUGUAUUCAAACAAAGCACGUCAAGUUAGUGAACUAAAACGGAAGUACAUUAUUAUUAUUAUUAUUAUUAUGAUUCUUAUCAUGAAGGAAACAGCCUAAUUAGAUUAGCUUACGGAAGUACACAUGGACAUGAUUGCAUUCUAUGAUAGAUGGAAAGAGAAUUUCUUCUUUGUUCUUGAUUUUUGUGCAUCAUACAAAUGCUCAAAUACAAUACCGGGUUUGCCAAAUGCUCGGGAAAUAAAAUGAUGAAUUGGCUGCAUAAACAAGCAUCGUCGACAACUUUUAGCACUACAAGAAUGAGCCUUUGACCCCACAGGAAGGAUAAGAUCACCACACCAUAAUCAAUCUUCAAACUGCCAUUAAUUGGCCAAGUAAUUGACUGCAGUUGCAAUCAUCUCCCCCCCCCCACCCGAAUAGUUGUUACCACUUCAACUUAAAAGCCGGGUCAUUGCUAAUUAUGUCGGAUUAAUUGGUUAAUCAACUGAACCAGCAUGAUUAUCCAAUGGACCGUAAUCUGAUGCCAUUAUUACCCAUGAUGUUUGGUCAUAAUCCUGCAUGAUUAGAGUGAAUAAAGCAAGCGCGAGAAGAAGAGGAAGAUGGUGACUCGUAAUACAUCACACGAUAGACCUGCCGAGAAAGUCAAAAUGAUAGCGAAUCAUAGAGCAGAACCGCGGCGGGGGUUGGGGCCCAGAGUGGGACCAUUCAUGCGAGCGGAUGGGAAUCAUGACCUCCGGGACAGGUAACCAUCAGGAUUUGGAGGAGUAGUAAUUUAUUUAAUUAAACGGUAACGUUAAACAGGGUAAACGGAGGUUAUGGUGUGAUGCACUAUCCUUUUAGUUUGACAAACACCAAGCAACUGAAAAUUGGAUCGAGUGCUCCGAAUUUGAAUGUAGCUUUUCUUAAUCGAAUUUAUUUUGGGGUAACUAAAAUUUCCAUAAUAAUUUUCAAUCUUUCUAUGAUUGUCAACAAAUUGUUAGAUGAUAGCGUUCGAAAUAAGUUUUUUUUUUUUUUUUGAAAAAAACGGUUGCUAUUUAGUUCAGAUAAAUACAUAUUAGUUUAUAGUUCGACCUUAAGUAUGAUCAGUAAAAUAAGAUGUAAAAAUGAAAUAAUGGCCUAUAUAACUUUAAUUUUAUUCUUUUUUAGUUGUUAUAGAUUUUAAUUUGAUUAAUAAUAGUUUAUAAAUUUAAAUAUUUUGUAAUUUGGAAUUCAAGUUAGACACGCUUAGCACGAAUCAAAAUAUUAAUUACAUACAUAUCUCUACGUAUAUAUAAAGAAUUGUUCAAAGAGCUGUUUUAUAGUACAACAUAAUUGUGAAAAUGCUCAUUACUUCAAAGUUGACAAGAUCUUGAUAUCUGUUCAAGGACCACAAUAUUAUAUUAUGGCCACCACCUAGCUUGAUGAACCCUUGCCUCUCGUCAAAAUGCCAUAUUAAAGUGAUCUGUUUCAAAAAAUUCAGAUGAAUGUAUUGUACAUUUAUUUGAUCCAGUGAUAGUUCAGUCCCUUUUGAGUUAUUCAUAGAUUUUCUUUAAGUCCAUUCCCUUCCCCUUAAUAUAAAAUAAAUUAAAUUAUAAAAUUAUUAUCGUCUUCGAAAAAAAAAAUACCAAAUAUUGGUAGAUAUUGGCUCAAAUAUAGUAGUAUCUCCAGCUCCAGUGAACUGAACACAAGUGCUGCUGGGCGGCAGGACUGAGGUUGAGGUCUCGAACAGAUCAGACCAGUGUGAGGUAACCAAACCAUCUUGACAGCUAUUUUGUCCGGUUGGGCACGUGUCUCAAUCCACAACCGACACGUUAUGGCACAUGAGUCCGCUUCAGCGGUGUGUCUGGUCUGGGCAGGGCUAAUGCGGGUUACUUUAUGCCCAACUCUGCUGCGCAUGCCAUGUCAGAUAUCUGCUUCAAUUAAGAAGGCCGCCAUUAUAUCUUUCCAUGGGACCCACCAGGAUUCCCACCGCUGGACCGCUCCACCAUUGUCAUUUGGCAUUUAGCUCCAAAGAAAAGGAAUAUCAACACUUAAAUUAAAGGAAUAAUUUUAGAAACCUUCCUUGAGGUUUUUAACUAUUGCAAGAAGCUCACUUCUAGUUUAAAAAUUUACAUUUACCUCCAAUAUGAUUAGCAUUUCAGUAACAAUAUAGAUCGAGUAUGUGAAAUUUAUCCUAAAAAAAUUCUAAAAUACUCCUUUGUUACUUAGAAGUGGGAAAACUCACUAAUAAAUUUCUUUCACGUUGCAACUAUACCACCCUAACGGACUUAAUAAACCACUUCAGUUUAAUUUUCAUAUUCUCACAGUUUUGACAGCCUAUCAUUGUUGUUCCAAAGCUUUCCAUGCAAAUCAAUUAUGACAUCUUUAUACCUUCAUUUAGCAUGACAACAAAUCUGGUCCAGCAACUUGGCAUUUGAAAUUUUCAAUUCAAUAAUACUUACACAAAAAAGGAACACCAAAAAAAAAAAAAGAGAAAGGAUCUAUUUCUAUAAUAAUAAGGAUUUAAGAUGUAUUAGAUGGCAGUUGCGAAAAAUAGUGAAUUAUGAGAUACAGGAGAAAAAAUAUAGAAGAAACGGUCGGAGAGAAAAAAUAAUUGUUUAUUUUGUGUGGCAGUCAUUGUUUUAGACUAGUUGUAGUUGUAUAAAUUUUUUUUUGUAUGAAUUAUUUAUAAGUGAAGGAUAUUAUAGUCAUUUUACUAUAUAAAGGGAGGUUAGUAUAAUUAUUCAAACCUAAAGGGAGGUGAGUGAAAUUGUCAAAUGAGAGGUUUAUGAAAUUAUCCCUAAAUUAAAAACAUCCUUAAUUCUACGCCUUUUUUUUCUUCUAUAUAUAAAGUAUGAACAAUGGGUUCGGUGUUAAAGUAACGUGUCAUUUUUUUAGUUUUCUAAUUUCUUCCUCACAAAAGUGAAGAUUUAUAAGAAUAAUUACUUAAAUGUAGUGCUAACUUCUAAUACUUCCAUUUCUACUAACUUCUAUUUUUUAAUUCGUUUUCCAAAAAUAAUCAUAAACUAUUUUGCAAAACAAAAAAAAAUUCUAAUGAUUUUUAUUGGUUUUAAUAAAACAAUUAAAAAUUUUCUUAAUUUACAUACUCGUAGAAUGUGCUUUUCUCACUGGUAUUACAUAAUCUCAAACUCAUCCCCCGUUUCUUUCUUUCCAUUUGUACAGUUUGAAAUAUCUCUUCAAAAAAAAAAAAAAUACAAGCAGAGUACUAUUUUCUUCGAGAUUAAAAGAUUAAUGAUGUAAAACUUAUUAGAUUUUAAUAGCAAACUCUAGAAUUAGAUGGGGAGAACCUGGAGAGUAUUUACACUUGAUAUUUCAUUUUAAGAAAAUCGUUCAAGACAUCCCUCACAUAUCAUCAAAUGAAUUUUUUUAUCAUUCAUUUUUAAAAUAUGAACUUUACAUCAUUUACAAAUUCAAAUUACCAGAAUUUGAUCUCACAUUAAGUUUUUAACCAAUUUCUAACUUGAAAUCGUUAUGUGAUCUACAUGUAGUCAUUUUUUAUAUACAAAAAUAUCAAAUUUCACAUUUUUAGCAACAAAAAUAAAUAUGGAUUAAGUCGGGAAAAAAUGAAUAUGAUUCGGGUCAUAUCUUACUUUUUUAGGACCAAAACUGAAUAUGAAUCAGAUCACUUUUUUAACUAUAAAUGGAAUAUAAUCCUUGUACUCCUUAAAAAAUAAAGAUUAUAUGUGGAUCAAGUUAUCGAUUCAGAGAAAAAAGUAGUCGGCAGGACCAAAUUUUAUCGACUUAUAAUUUUUGUAAAUGACGUAAAAUUGCGAUAUUAAAAAUGAAGGAUGAACAAAUUGAUUUGACAAAAUGUGAAGGAUGGUUUGAACAAAUUUUCCUCAAUUGUCUUUUUAGUUUAGCAGAUCUCUCUAUUUGGUUAUGUCCUUAUAUAUUACAACUUCCCUUCUUAGCCACUUCAUAUGCAAGUUUGAUAUUUUCAGCAUAAGGAGCAAUGUUGAAGAAAAGUGUUACCCCAAAAAAUUUUUUUGGCUCACCUUCGUGUUUUAUUUCACAAGGCAAAAUAACAAAAAAUGUCCUACCUAAAAGUAAACUAAAAGGUGACAAAAAAAUCAAUUUCCCCCCAAAAAGAAAAUAAUAAAAAAAAGGAAGCCAAAUGGUUGACGGAGUAAUCAUUGUCCAAAAGGGCGAUGAAUACUAGGAAUAAUCAUCACUACAAAAAAAAAAAAAAAAGGAAUCUUAUGGCAUACAUCUUCCAUGCAAUCCCACAUUCUGAAAAUUGGACGUUGUGGGGCUUAUGGCCACCAAAUUAGCUUUAUUUAACCUCUGAUCUUAAGUUAUAAACUGCAGCCACCUCAAUUGUCCGACUCAAGAGGGUAUAAAAAGACUUGCUCGAUUCGUUAAAACUCGUGGCUCUAAUUUAUCUCGCGUGCCAAGUCACUUAGCUUUGAUUAGAAUAGUCUUAUAUGGGGGAAAAAAAUAAAAUAAAAUCUAGCAAGAAAAGGAAAUAAAGCGGGGGGACAAAGGAAAAGAAUAAAAGAAGUGGAAUAAUCAACUGGAGGUGGUUGGUUUGGUCCUCGGUCUACACCGGGCAUAGCAAUUAAAUUAGAGCAGCGAGACGAGAUGUCUGCAUCCCUCUAUUCUUCUACAAACUUCAAUUUGCAGGAUGAAGGUGACAAACAAGGAUACCUUACACAUUAAAUGUACUAAACACAGGCAUGAAUGCAGAUCAUGUGGGUGAUGGAGAGCCAGCAACGCAACACAUUCAAUUUAAUAAGUUUGCUGUUCCAACUUAAUACUUGUUUAAUGCCAUCCUAUGCGAACUGGAUAUGCCGACUUAGCUGUCUGGUCCCUCUCCGUGAUAGUUUCCCUCAUUUUGUUUCCCUUCAAUGAAAGCACCAAACUAGCUCAGGAAAACGUACGCUCAGUCUAGCUAAAGCUUUUUUUUACUCUUCGCCUGCUUCUCCUCCGUUCGACAUUUAUGUUUCUACGAUCAGUUAUAAAGUUUUUUUUUUUUUUUUGUUGGGGGGUGGGGGUGGGGGUGGGGUUUGGAAUUCGUUACUUAAUCAAGGAAACCAGCCUUUGAAGGCAUAAAAUGGUUCUUCCAUGCUUGUUAUAGGUUGGGGAACAUCUUUUAAGGCAGUAUGUCACGGUCGAAAACUGCAGAGGCAUGCCUUAAUGGUCAUUACUUGAAGGUGGAGAAUACCACCACACUGCUUGUGGGCAAUUAGCAAGUAACAAGCAAUUAGGUACAACAAGAGCAGGGGUCAUUCUCAAGCGUGUAGCUUUCUUUUUUUUUCAAAAGAAGUAGAGGUGUGGUCAUUGUGGUGGUGGAGCCUUGGUCACAUGGAGAAGCCUUCAAUCAUUACAAACCACGGACUGAUUCAAGGCUCCUUUUUUCUUGGUGCGAAUUAUUACCGCAUCCUCUUCAUCAGUAAAGUCCAGCCACUUUGAGCUGAGAGUCUCAAUGUCUGUUGUGGACAACUGGAGGAGGGCUUGAACAUUCGUACGGAUCUGCCUAUAAGGGGGUAAGGUAAUACAAAUCCUUGGACCCAAAAAAAAAGAAAUUGAUAGAAAUCCCUUCAGCGAGUUGAGAGAUCAACUUAGUUAUUAGAUCGUGUAAAGUGAUGGACAGUUCAUCUCCUGAAGAUUCAAGUACAUUGAUGAAACAAACAUCUGCUGCACAUUGACCGUAGCGUUUCAGCCCAGAUGUCCUCGUGUGCCUUUCUUCUCAAUUAUUAUGAUUAAAUCGCUUUUAUAAAAAAGCAAAAAGAAGGCCCAGUAGGAUUAAUCAGAUUGUGAUGCAAAAAAGCUUCCCCCGAUUCCAACAUUCUUUGUUGGCAGUGAGACCACAACUGACAACCUCUGCUCAGCAAGCGGAAACCUGCUUACAGCUUUCCAUACUUGGCAGCAAACAUGAGUGAAGGUAGGACCCUGAGGAAACAUCCAACCAAUUCAAGUGGGGAUCAGUUUUAACGUGCAUUGCAGGAUAGUCUUUCCCUUCAAAUGUUAUCAAGCAACCAUGCGAACCAGUCUUUCCCAAUCAACCUGGCACAUUUCCUCCACAUAGCAUGUUCCACUCACAAACCAUCACCUGCUAACUCACUGGAAGAAGACCAGAAACCUCAAACUUCUAUUCAAAAUGCAAUACGAGGCACCACUUAAAGUUCUUUGCCUCACUACUACGCUACCCAAUCUUUGAAACAAAGAAUAUAAGAACACACAAUUUCAGCAGAAACACGAUAGGAAAAAUUCUUCUUUUUCCCUGGAAAGUAAUAAUGUAAGGUACAAGGCACAUCCUUAAAAAGCUAUUGUCAUCAAAUUCAAGAUGACCAUUUCCAAAGAAACAAUCAUAUCCUGAUAAAAUGCAAAGGGGAAAAGCACAUUUAAAAUAAAAAAAAAAAAGAUGCUACGAAAGACUGCAGAUGCAGCAGCCAACAAGGACAUAGCACACCACCCCAG